AAUCUGAAAGCGAAAUGGGAGCAGCAGAUUCUUACUCUGUAGGUGGACUAUUAAGUCCUCAGAUUA
Molecule: transfer RNA, 66 nt
Filed under: Stylochus fafai
Lineage: Eukaryota; Metazoa; Platyhelminthes; Polycladida; Stylochidae
Description: tRNA-Lys
Source: RNAcentral